AUAAUACUAUACAGACUUUUAUAGCAAGCUUAGUGAACAACACGGUUCUACUCAAACAAGCAAACGAUAGCUGUAAAAAAAAAUUAAUGAUAUCAUAUUUACAUUUUUCAUUCUUUCGUUAUAGAUCCCUAUCCAAGCGAUUGGCUAGAAGAAUGUGUAUACUGUUGUUGACUAUUACACUAAACAAUCUUUUUCUCUUCCUUAAGACCAUACAAUGAACUGCAACUACAAAACAAACACAAAAACAGUUUGAAAAUGAAGGCACUGUGAUUGAAAAUGAACACACAGUGAGUUUAGACUGUAAUUGUAAACAAAGCACUGCUGCUUCACGGUGUCCUUAACCACAGUGUCUUGCACCCACACAGAAACAAACAGCUGUCUGUUGACACUUAAUUCAAAUGUUCACAGAAGGUUCGUAUCCAAAAUCAGUUUUGAGGUCUGCAUUAGCGAAAUUUAGUUCUUGCCACGCCUUCAUCCCACCACAUUCUCACACGGAAGCGCACUCGCACUAAUCACACUCCAGCACUGAGCACUUCUGCUAAACAACACCACUCCUGCCAAACAGCCAAUUAUGACACUCCAUCAAUCAGCGCACCUUCCUCCUCUCACAACACUUAAACCCUCCAGAAGCCCCUGUUUAUUGCUUGGUUUUGGUUGUUUGUUCACCUACCUUGCCUUUGAUUCUUUUUUCCUUCUUGCUCUUUGUUACUAACCUCAGAACUCACUUUCAACUCACUACUGUCUUGCCCCUUCAGAUUUGGAAGCCUACUUUUAUCUGCCUUCUUGACUACGACCUCAGCCUUGCCCUUCUCUGGAUUGGAAACCUUCUCUCCUGAAUUAACACUGCAGAUAAAGUUGUGCUGUCCCCACCCUGCUGAGGGACACUCCCACAGAGAUGACUCAUUCCCCAGACAGCCCACCUCGUCCAGCCAGAUGGGUCCAGUUCCCUGGGUGAAGCAGGCCGGCACUGGGGCACUGAGGGCCAUCCCACACUGGAGCUGCCUGCAUACCACCUGAGAGUCUGCCAGGUCCCAGGAGUCAUCGCAGACUGUCCCCCAGGAUC
RNAcentral lists this long non-coding RNA (1063 nucleotides) under Lepisosteus oculatus (spotted gar). RNAcentral's name for it is "lncRNA (ENSLOCG00000023301.1)". The record is from RNAcentral. Lineage: Eukaryota; Metazoa; Chordata; Actinopteri; Semionotiformes; Lepisosteidae.